AACGUACGCUGGCGGCACGCCUAACACAUGCAAGUCGAACGAAGUAGCAAUACUUAGUGGCAGACGGGUGAGUAACAUGUAGGUAUCUGCCCUUUGGCCUGGAAUAACACGAGGAAACUUGUGCUAAUACCGGAUAAGUCUUUACAGAGAAAGCUUUAUGCACCAUUGGAUGAGCCUGCACUUGAUUAGUUUGUUGGUGGGGUAAUGGCCUACCAAGACUGUGAUCAAUAGCUGAUUUGAGAGGAUGAUCAGCCACAUUGGGACUGAGACACGGCCCAAACUCCUACGGGAGGCAGCAGUGGGGAAUCUUGCACAAUGGAGGAAACUCUGAUGCAGCGAUGCCGCGUGAGUGAAGAAGGCCCUUGGGUUGUAAAGCUCUUUCGUCGGGGAAGAAAAUGACUGUACCCGAAUAAGAAGGUCCGGCUAACUUCGUGCCAGCAGCCGCGGUAAUACGAAGGGACCUAGCGUAGUUCGGAAUUACUGGGCUUAAAGAGUUCGUAGGUGGUUGAAAAAGUUAGUGGUGAAAUCCCAGAGCUUAACUCUGGAACUGCCAUUAAAACUUUUCAGCUAGAGUAUGAUAGAGGAAAGCAGAAUUUCUAGUGUAGAGGUGAAAUUCGUAGAUAUUAGAAAGAAUACCAAUUGCGAAGGCAGCUUUCUGGAUCAUUACUGACACUGAGGAACGAAAGCAUGGGUAGCGAAGAGGAUUAGAUACCCUCGUAGUCCAUGCCGUAAACGAUGUGUGUUAGACGUUGGAAAUUUAUUUUCAGUGUCGCAGGGAAACCGAUAAACACACCGCCUGGGGAGUACGACCGCAAGGUUAAAACUCAAAUGAAUUGACGGGGACCCGCACAAGUAGUGGAGCAUGUGGUUUAAUUCGAAGAUACGCGCAGAACCUUACCAACACUUGACAUGUUCGUCGCGACUCUAAGAGAUUAGAGUUUUCGGUUCGGCCGGACGAAACACAGGUGCUGCAUGGCUGUCGUCAGCUCGUGUCGUGAGAUGUUGGGUUAAGUCCCGCAACGAGCGCAACCCUCACUUUUAGUUGCCAUCAUUAAGUUGGGCACUCUGAAAGAACUGCCAGUGAUAAGCUGGAGGAAGGUGGGGAUGACGUCAAGUCCUCAUGGCCCUUACGUGUUGGGCUACACACGUGCUACAAUGGUAUCUACAACAGGAAGCAAGACUGCGAAGUUAAGCAAAUCCCUAAAAGAUACCUCAGUUCGGAUUGCACUCUGCAACUCGAGUGCAUGAAGCUGGAAUUACUAGUAAUCGUGGAUCAGCGUGCCACGGUGAAUGCGUUCCCGGGUCU
RNAcentral lists this ribosomal RNA (1306 nucleotides) under uncultured bacterium. RNAcentral describes it as "bacterial SSU rRNA". It matches the Rfam family "Bacterial small subunit ribosomal RNA", at positions 28 to 1381 of the family's 1533-position model. The record is from RNAcentral.